This 75-nucleotide transfer RNA is filed under the name Candidatus Woesearchaeota archaeon. Its description in RNAcentral is "tRNA-Ile". It matches the Rfam family "tRNA". Rfam says of the family: Transfer RNA (tRNA) molecules are approximately 80 nucleotides in length. Their secondary structure includes four short double-helical elements and three loops (D, anti-codon, and T loops). The record is from RNAcentral. Lineage: Archaea; Nanobdellati; Candidatus Woesearchaeota.
GGCGGUGUAGCUCAGCCUGGUUAGAGCGCUAGACUCAUAAUCUAGAGGUCGUGGGUUCAAAUCUCGCCACCGCCA